AGCCAGGUCCCUGUCCCCUACA
This 22-nucleotide microRNA is filed under the name Mus musculus (house mouse). RNAcentral describes it as "mmu-miR-7665-3p". Lineage: Eukaryota; Metazoa; Chordata; Mammalia; Rodentia; Muridae. The record is from miRBase by way of RNAcentral.